RNAcentral lists this long non-coding RNA (1529 nucleotides) under Homo sapiens (human). RNAcentral's name for it is "HSALNT0309526". Lineage: Eukaryota; Metazoa; Chordata; Mammalia; Primates; Hominidae. The record is from RNAcentral.
GGGAGCAGAAGCAGAGGUGACCAGAGUCCUAAAUCAUCAAGACAGGAUGGAGGUGGGUCCAGCCCUAUGGGGCUUAGCAGGUGUUCUCCCCGUGUGUGGAGACGAGAGAUUGUUAUAAAUAAAGACACAAGACAAAGAGAUAAAGAGAAAAGAGCUGGGCCUGGAGGACUACUACCAUCAAGAUGCGGAAGACUGGUAGUGGUCCCGAAUGGAUGGGCUCACUGAUAUUUAUUGCAUACAAGACAAGGGGACAGGGUAAGGAGGGUGAAUCUUCUAAAUGACUGACAAGGUGAAGCAAGUCACGUGAUUACAGGACAGGAGGCCCUUCCCUUUUAGGUAGCCGAAGCAGAGAGAGAAGGCAGCAUACAUCAGCGUUCUCUUCUCUGCACUUAUAAGAAAGACCAAAGACUUUAAGACUUUCACUAUUUCUUCUACCACUAUCUACUGUGAACUUCAAAGAGGGACCAGAAGUACGGGCGGAGCAUGAAAGAGGACAAGGAGGGUGACCACUGAAGCACAGCACCACAGGGAGGGGUUUAGGCCUCCGGAUGACUGCGGGCAGGCCUGGAUAAUAUCCAGCCUUCCACAAGAAGCUGGUGGAGCAGAGUGUUCCCUGACUCCUCCAAGGAAAGGAGACUCCCUUUCGCGGUCUGCUAAGUAACGGGUGCCGUCCCAGACACUGGCGUUACCCCUUGACCAAGGAGCCCUCAAGUGGCCCUUAUGUGGGCGUGACAGAGGGCUCACCUCUUGCCUUCUGGGUCACUUCUCACAAUGUCCCUUCAGCACCUGACCCUAUACCCGCCGGUUAUUCCUAGGUUAUGUUAGUAAUGCAACAAAGAGUAAUAUUAAAAGCUAAUGAUUAAUAAUGUUUAUAAUAAUGAUUGAUAAUUGUCCAUGAUCAUCUCUGCAUCUAAUUUGUAUUAUGACUAUUCUUAUUCUAACUAUUUUAUUUUCUUUAUUAUACUGAAACAGUUUGUGCUUUCAAUCUCUUGCCUUGGCACCUAGGUACUCUUUCACCCACAAUUUCUUUUUCUGUAUUGAGGUAAUCUGAAAAAAAUGAGUGGAAGAGCUAACAAUUUCUACUAAAGAUAAGUAAUAAUGAAGCCCUUAAGAAAUAUUAUAAACCUGUACUAACUAAAAAAUAAAUAAACAUAUCUAAAUAAUGGACACUGCUCCCUCAUGGGCCAAAAGUAUAUAAGAAAUUAACCUGAAAGCAGUGAUAUCAUAAAAUAGUGAGAAAGGAAAAUUCAUUUAAUAAAUAGUAUUGAAAGCAAGAUUUGCUACAUAAAAAACCUCACUUGAUGUAGUCUAAAAUAAAUUUUGAUUAAAGUAACACGUAACUUCCACAUAAGAUUCUAAGACCAGGUAGUUCAACUUAUGAUUAUUAUUUUAAAAUUUGAAAAGUCUGCAAAAAAAGUCUAUUUAGAGUAGCUAAACUAGAGUACCUCUAAUUUUAGAGUUUAAAAAAUAAUAAUUAGGCUGGGCACGGUGGCUCACGCCUGUAAUCCCAGCACUUUGGGAGGCCGAGG